GAUGAACGCUGGCGGCGUGCCUAAUACAUGCAAGUCGAGCGAACGGACGAGAAGCUUGCUUCUCUGAUGUUAGCGGCGGACGGGUGAGUAACACGUGGAUAACCUACCUAUAAGACUGGGAUAUCUUCGGGAAACCGUAGCUAAUACCGGAUAAUAUUUUGAACCGCAUGGUUCAAAAGUGAAAGACGGUCUUGCUGUCACUUAUAGAUGGAUCCGCGCUGCAUUAGCUAGUUGGUAAGGUAACGGCUUACCAAGGCAACGAUGCAUAGCCGACCUGAGAGGGUGAUCGGCCACACUGGAACUGAGACACGGUCCAGACUCCUACGGGAGGCAGCAGUAGGGAAUCUUCCGCAAUGGGCGAAAGCCUGACGGAGCAACGACGCGUGAGUGAUGAAGGUCUUCGGAUCGUAAAACUCUGUUAUUAGGGAAGAACAUAUGUGUAAGUAACUGUGCACAUCUUGACGGUACCUAAUCAGAAAGCCACGGCUAACUACGUG
Molecule: ribosomal RNA, 497 nt
Filed under: uncultured bacterium
Lineage: Bacteria
Description: partial 16S ribosomal RNA
Rfam family: Bacterial small subunit ribosomal RNA
Source: RNAcentral